UCCUUGGUAGCUCAGCUGGUAAAGAGUCUGCCUGCAAUGCAGGAGACUCAGGUUCAGUUCCUGAAUCAGGAA
This 72-nucleotide transfer RNA is filed under the name Bos taurus (domestic cattle). It matches the Rfam family "tRNA". Rfam says of the family: Transfer RNA (tRNA) molecules are approximately 80 nucleotides in length. Their secondary structure includes four short double-helical elements and three loops (D, anti-codon, and T loops). RNAcentral also lists the same sequence under 5 other names. The record is from Rfam by way of RNAcentral. Lineage: Eukaryota; Metazoa; Chordata; Mammalia; Artiodactyla; Bovidae.